Molecule: long non-coding RNA, 2080 nt
Organism: Hippocampus comes (tiger tail seahorse)
Lineage: Eukaryota; Metazoa; Chordata; Actinopteri; Syngnathiformes; Syngnathidae
Exons: 3
Source: RefSeq, a predicted model, not a curated record
CGGAAGUUUUGCACGAACUGUUGAGAGGUGAACUCCGCCAUAAUUGUGUCCCGCCAGAAGAGCGAUGGCGGAUGUGUCCCGCUUGUAUGCCAUCUCCAGCUUCGCAGCCAGCCUGGUGAUCAUCUACAAUGAUGAACUUUGCAAGCCCAGUGAGGGGCUAAGCAGAAUUGUUCUCACUUGCUGUUCGGAGACGUGAGAAGCGUUUGGCAUUGAGGCCAGCGACCGCCAUCUGCUGCGCAGGCUGAUUCCUCCGGAGGUCUUCCUUUCAAAAAGCGGCUCCCUGGCUGAGGCUGACAUCCCAACCUUUGUCAUCUCAAGUCAUUUCAACUAUUUGAUGAGAAACAAGCACCUGAGCAGUUCCCACUCCAUUUUGUCCUCUUCAUCAAUUCCUGCCCUCUUUGCUGAGUAGAGAUCUUUUGAUCUCAUCCAGGGGUAGAAGCCAGAAAUUGAGACAGACAAGUUGAGGCUGCGGAAAGUGAGGGAUCAAUUUGAAAGCAGAUCCUUUGCGGGCAAACUGCUCAUCGCGGCUGUUGAUGAAAAAUCUCUGGUAACGUAAAGGCAAUUUGACGUCAAGCUCUUGUGGAUGAUUAAUCAUCAGACGGAGUGCUUGGUUGUUGUCAACCAUGACACCGAUGCCAUAUUUACAUUUAUGUUGAUGAUGGUAAGCGUUCCUUUCCAAGGAUGGGUAAAAGAGCAAUCAGGAGGAUAAUAAUGGCUUUGAUUGUAUAGCACUGUUCAAAGUGUUACAAAGUGAUCAACAGUAAAGCAAAUACAAGUACGAGGCAACGGUACUCAGUCGGAAAGGUGCGGACUGCCCUCUCCAGGUCUGCCCCAUGCGGAGCAGUUCAAGUCUCUUGGCAUCUUGUUCGCUGAUGCCUCUUCGACUGUAUCUGCCUUAGUGUUCAUAUUUCACAGAUUUUUUUUUUUAAGACAAAACGUUGCAUGUGUCGUCGUAGAUAAAAACCUUUAUUAAGACAUCACCUCUCCAAAAAUAUCAACAUUUCUUUAGCUUUGGUAUCAACCUAUGUACCAUACAAUGAUGUAUACAAGAUCUUUGUAGCCGGUAGAUGGGGGGGGGGGGGGUCUACACAACACAUCUGCUGUUUUUCGAGAGAAACACAACACUGAAAGCUGAACUAUUCACUGGCAACACAGCACCUGAUGCUCUGCUUUGCAAAACCUCACAGCUAUCUUUGCACUGCAAGACAAUGAAGAGGUCGAAAUCGGUUCGCAGGAUGCCGACAAGCACAUGACAAACAAUAUAUACGGAACAAAAAUCAUUUUAGCGAGAACGUAUUGUCAUGUCACUCGAACACUUUGCUGUGCACUCGAAAGACGUACUGAUGUGAUCGAGGACAUGGAGCCUGUUGUUCGAAAUAGUCGCCGAUUGUUGUAAACAUAGCGUUGGGAGGCAUGUGAAAUCCGCCCGUGUGCUUUGCUGAGCAACUGCCCCGAAGCAAGACACUAUGCGGCCAACCCUUUCGGUUUAUAAAAGAAGGGAUCCUGAGCAUUGGGUUUAACCAGAAACAUUUGAUUUCGUUACCAUGCAAGGAAUAUCAUAUUACAAGCAAUGCAAAGAUCAUUGCGAGGGGAUCGUUCAUUUUCGUAAUGUUUUAUUGGGCAGGUGUGCCGAGUUUCUCGCGCUAUCCACCGAACAUGACCAAAUGUCACCGUGAGAUUAAGUGUAUUCAUUCAAUCAGGGAUGCCAUCGUCAAGUGCGCAUGCAGACCACUGAGGGAACGAUGCAGAAGCUCUUUCACGUGCAUUUCUUGAUCGCUGUCACCUUUCAAUGCCGCUUACAUGGCAGCGGUGCUUCAAAGUACAUGUUCAAUCGCGUCUUAGGAUGAAAUGUCAAUUAGGGGGACCUUUAAAUCAUUUUAAAGUGACAACUGAUCAAUUUAAGACAACGUUGUCGGACAGGGGAAUUACUUGAAAACCACCGGUGUUACAUUCUUCGUCUUUGUCGACAGUCUUACGCCGUGGCUUCUUUCUUUCAGUUCUACUGUUGGUAGACAAUAUGGAAAAACUGUCUAUCUUCCAUUCACAUUCAGUUAUUUAAAAAAAUAUUUACAAACUGCUG